Long non-coding RNA from Saccostrea cuccullata (small rock oyster), 1557 nucleotides. RefSeq lists it as uncharacterized. NCBI's taxonomy places the organism in Eukaryota, Metazoa, Mollusca, Bivalvia, Ostreida, Ostreidae. The record is from RefSeq and is a predicted model, not a curated record. The transcript has 2 exons.
AAACCCCAUUCUAUCAUUGAUACUGAAAAAGUUCUUAUUAUAACUUUAGAAGAAAAUGAUGAGAGAGGUACAAUUAAUCCUUUGGGAUUAAUUAUCUAGCCUGCUGCAGAAAAUUUAGUAGGCUUUUCUUUAUCUUUAAGAUUAAUGAAAACCUUUGUCUGCAACUGCUGUUUGUUUGAAGUUAAGGUCAAGCCUUCAUGAUAUUUGCAUUCAUUGAAGGCUGGCAUUCUAUAUAACACAAGCUUCAUAAUUGGUUAAAUAUACAUUCAAUGUUAAGUUGUUCUUUACUGCCUAAUGUAAAUACAAGGAUAUUAUUUUCAGGUUUUUGAAUAUUCAGGAAUUAUCUUGAAAUUUUAAGAAUACAGUUGCUGUUGCUUAUUCUUCGUACAUUUUUUAAUCAUUCCGUAAGCUGCACCCUUUUAAUUCUACCCCAUGGCGGGGCCCUUGCUGACUGGUCAGUUUUCUAGUUAUGUGUAGUUUUUUUUUUUAAUUCUUGUUAGUUGAUUUUGUUUUGUAUUUUAUUUUUCAUUUUGGCGCCUUGUAUAGAUAUUUUGAUUUAUGAUUGGAUUUUGAGAUCAUUGCUAUUUGGAGUGAAUUAUGUUUCACAGCAUUUUUGUCCGAGAAGGUAAUUUGCUCUAGUUAUUUAACUGCAGGAGCUCGUCUCGUGGUGCUGAGGAGAUAAUUUAAUUAAGUUGAGUGACCGACUCUGUGAGAGAGCAAUGUUUACUAGCUUUGCUAUUAAUUACUGUUUGAUUGUGGCUGUUUCGAAGUCAUCCUUUAUCUAAGUAAUUAUUUUAGCUGCUGUAUAUCAAUGUCUCCACGCUAAUUGUUUUGUAAACCAUGGUACUUACAUGAUAGAUGGAAGUUUUAUUUUUCAAUUAUUUGUGUCAUUACGGGUUAUGCCUAUUUUUACAAUUAUAAUUUAAUAUGUUUCUAAUGUACAGCUUAAUGAUAAGUGAAAGUACGAGAACAUUGUUUUGAGUUUUUACUCAUGUUGUAAAUUGUGUGACAUUUGUUUAUUUUUUUUCUGUGUAAUCCUCAUUUUUUUUAAAUAUUAAUUUGCAUUUAUUAACCCCAUGUAAAAUUGUUUUACAAUUUUAUUUUCUGUGGGCGGAUGUUAUGAUUAUGGGUUAUAAGGGUUUAUAAAUGACAAAUUUUUAAUUAUGAAUAUAUUUAUACAUAAUUGUUUAUUACUUUUCGGUCUUGUUUGACAUCUGUAGUUGAAAGUUAAUUGUUUUCAUUUGAUGUUUAGGAAAGACAUUUUUGCACAUGUUAGCAAUAUCUAAUUCUUGACAUCUCUUUCCUGUCUCACGAUAUCAAUGUCAUUUACUCAUACUUGUUAUCAACUUUAUGGUUAGAUCUUAGGAUCGUGUUCUUUGAAUUUGUUAUGCUUAGCUCUACCUAAUUUCAGUGUUGUAAAUUAAUGUCAUACGGAUUCCCCCUGUUCUUGCAAUGUUCUAUCCUUAAUUUAAUUGGCUGGUCAGUACGAAAGUGGGCGGAGUUGUCAAAGAUUAGAUGUGAGUGAGUUUGUAAGUGAGUAAAUUUUUAGGAAAAUUC